GGGCGAUUAGCUCAGUUGGUUCAGAGCGUACGCCUCACACGCGUAAGGUCGUAGGUUCGAAUCCUACAUCGCCCACCA
This 78-nucleotide transfer RNA is filed under the name Bacteroidia bacterium. RNAcentral describes it as "tRNA-Val". It matches the Rfam family "tRNA". From Rfam's summary of the family: Transfer RNA (tRNA) molecules are approximately 80 nucleotides in length. Their secondary structure includes four short double-helical elements and three loops (D, anti-codon, and T loops). The record is from RNAcentral. Lineage: Bacteria; Pseudomonadati; Bacteroidota; Bacteroidia.